UGUCUUUGUAGCUCAAUGGGUAGAGCAUUUACCUUGUAAGUAAGAGGUUGUAGGUUCGAGUCCUACUAAAGGCA
This 74-nucleotide transfer RNA is filed under the name Petrosia ficiformis. RNAcentral's name for it is "tRNA-Thr". It matches the Rfam family "tRNA". From Rfam's summary of the family: Transfer RNA (tRNA) molecules are approximately 80 nucleotides in length. The record is from RNAcentral. Lineage: Eukaryota; Metazoa; Porifera; Demospongiae; Haplosclerida; Petrosiidae.